GGAAAGCCUGCCGGAGAGGGUGAAAGCCCCGUAAGCGAAAGGAGAGCUGACUGAGCGGAAUCCAGAGUACAUCGAGACACGAGAAACCCUGAUGGAAUGAGCGGGGACCACCCCGUAAGCCUAAAUACUACUUAGUGACCGAUAGCGCAUAGUACUGUGAAGGAAAGGUGAAAAGGACCCCGGGAGGGGAGUGAAAGAGAACCUGAAACCCUGUGUUUACAAGCUGUGGAAGUUCUUUAAAUGAACAACCGCGUACUUUUUGUAGAACGGUCCGGCGAGUUGCGGAUACUGGCAAGGUUAAGCACUUAAGGUGCGGAGCCGAAGGGAUACCAAGUCUUAACAGGGCGUUAAGUCAGUAUACGCAGACCCGAAACCGGGUGAUCUAUCCAUGUCCAGGUUGAAGUUGUCGUAAAAGACAAUGGAGGACCGAAGCCACAUCCGUUGAAAAGGGUGGGCAUGAGGUGUGGAUAGGGGAGAAAUUCCAAUCGAACCCGGAGAUAGCUGGUUCUCCUCGAAAUAGCUUUAGGGCUAGCCUCGAUUUAGUCUUAUGGAGGUAGAGCACUGAAUUUCCGCGGGGGCGUCAAAGCUUACCAAAGAAUAUCAAACUCCGAAUGCCAUGUAGAUGAUGAUCGGGAGUCAGACUGCACGAGAUAAGUUGGGCAGUCAAAAGGGAAAGAGCCCAGACCACCGGCUAAGGUCCCAAAGUGCGUGUUAAGUGGAAAAGGAUGUGGGAAUUCGAAGACAACUAGGAUGUUGGCUCAGAAGCAGCCAUACAUUCAAAGAGUGCGUAACAGCUCACUAGUCGAGAGUUCCUGCGCCGAAAAUGUCCGGGGCUGAAACACGACACCGAAGCCGUGGACUCGCAAUGCGAGUGGUAGAGGAGCAUUCUUAAAACCGACGAAGCUGUACCGGAAGGAGCAGUGGAGGGAUAAGAAGAGAGAAUGCCGGAAUGAGUAGCGAGAGAAAGGUGGGAAUCCUUUCGGCCGAAUAUCUAAGGUUUCCAGAGUAAAGCUGAUCUGCUCUGGGUAAGUCGGGGCCUAAGCACAGGUCGCAAGACGUAAGCGAUGGAUAACAGGUUUAGAUUCCUGUACCACGCAUUAUCAGAACUGUAGGGACGCAUGUGGAAAGCACGGGCCGGGAAUGGAAAAACCGGUACAAGCGGGGUAGGUGUACAACAGGCAAAUCCGUUGUAUAAUCCGAAGACGUGAUGUGGAGCGAAAUAAAGUAGUGAAGCGUGUGAGCCAUGUGCCGAGAAAAGCUGCUAUUGUGUAAUGCGUGCCCGUACCGUAAACCGACACAGGUGGAUGAGGAGAGAAUCCUAAGGCCGACGGAAGAAGCAUUGUUAAGGAAUUCGGCAAAAUGACCCCGUAACUUCGGGAGAAGGGGUGCCUGCGAGAGCAGGCCGCAGAGAAUAGGCUCAAGCAACUGUUUAGCAAAAACACAGGUCUAUGCGAAACCGAAAGGUGAAGUAUAUGGGCUGACGCCUGCCCGGUGCUGGAAGGUUACGAGGAGAGGUUAGCGUAAGCGAAGCUUUGAAUUUAGCCCCAGUAAACGGCGGCCGUUAACUAUACGGUCCUAAGGUAGCGAAAUUCUUGUCGGGUAAUUCCGACCCGCACGAAAGGCGUACUGAUUUGAGCACUGUCUCGACNAUGCAU
RNAcentral lists this ribosomal RNA (1655 nucleotides) under human gut metagenome. RNAcentral's name for it is "bacterial LSU rRNA". It matches the Rfam family "Bacterial large subunit ribosomal RNA", at positions 345 to 2032 of the family's 2925-position model. The record is from RNAcentral.